RNA transcript from Daphnia magna, 3065 nucleotides. RefSeq lists it as uncharacterized. NCBI's taxonomy places the organism in Eukaryota, Metazoa, Arthropoda, Branchiopoda, Diplostraca, Daphniidae. The record is from RefSeq and is a predicted model, not a curated record. The transcript is spliced from 7 exons.
UUUGGCAACGUUCACACUCACUCGGACUUGAAGAACGUCGUCUGUGUUCUGCCUCGUGUGAGAAAACUGGAAAAGACUAUCUCUGUGUGUUGCUUCAGUUAAUGGAUUUUUUUCCUCAACAAGAAACAAAUUGUGUCUGUAUACAUGAGUUGCGUGCGAGUAAAGCAAUAACUUAGACUCCAAUCUUCAGCGCUAGAUGGCGGACGGAUGUUUUUAAAUUGUGGAUGGAUGUUUUGACGUUUUACAACUUCAAUUUACGCCAUAAUACGGUAUAUUACGAAGGACUUGUAAGAUUCAGUGUUGACAAUAAUGGCUGCCAGUGUUUCUUCAAGACAAAAACGCAGACGCAUUCAGCAAAUAUUGGUUAACGGAAGUGCGUUUUACCAGGAAGAUGCCGAGCAAUAUUCCUCUGCUAACCAAAGUGUGACUGGUGCCAGUGAAUCAAACAGUGAUCAAAGUGAUAUAUUACAUAACAACUCAUUACAAGAUUAUUGCAUUGCAGAAGUUGUCGACAGUGACAUGAAUCAUAGUGAUACAGAACCUGACAGUGACAGCGAUGAUGAAAUUUAUGUAGACUGUGAAGAAGAAACUGAAACGUGUUAUGAAGUGGAGGAAGAUGACACAUUUUUCGACUGUGAGGAACGCAAUAUUAACACAUGUGAGUUUCGUGAAAGUCUUGCCUCUUGGGCUGUUCAGUGCCAGAUUCCGCAAUCGCAUGUAGACAAAUUACUUGUGCUCCUGAAAUCAUUCUCAGACUUUGACACAUCCAACCUUCCUAAAAGUUGUCGAACACUUCUGAAAACUAUUCGUCGCACUGCAACAAAAGUAGUUGGCCCAGGACACUACUAUCACUGUGGUGUUGAAAAAGGAAUCCUGUCAACUCUUCAAAGAAUGCAAGUGAAACGCAUUCCUUCUAAACGUAUCAAAUUGCUGAUAAAUGUUGACGGUGUGCCCAUAGCUAAAAGUUCCGGUAGCCAAUUUUGGCCGAUUCUGGGUAGACUUAGUGGCUUUCCACAUUCCAAACCUUUCUUGAUAGGUAUCUAUCAUGGGCCUUCCAAGCCAUCUGAUGCAAAUGUUUUCCUUGCUGAUUUCACAACAGAAAUAUUAGAUUUGCUUGAAAAAGGCAUAUUGUAUAACGGUGAGGUACUGACACUCGUUAUAUUUGGAUUUGUUUGCGAUGCGCCGGCAAGGGCUUUCAUUGCUUACACAAAAACACACAGCGGUUAUUUCAGUUGCUCAAAGUGUACAGAGGAAGGGGAUUUUGAAGGUAGAAUCGUAUUUUUGAACGAGAAGGCCCCAUUGCGUACCGAUGCAACUUUUCGAAGUCAACGACAAGACGAGCAUCACACAGGUCGGUCAAUUUUAGAGCAGUUGCCAAUUGAUAUGGUGGCCACCUUUCCCCUAGAUUACAUGCACCUUUGCUGUUUGGGGGUCAUGCGUAAAUUGUUGUGGCAAUAGAUAAAAGGUCCUCUUUCGUGUAGAUUAAGCCAAACUCAGAAAAACACAAUCUCGAGCUUUUUAAAUUUUUUGGCAAGUUACAUUCCUUCAGAAUUCAGUCGUAAAUCGCGGUCGUUAGCAGAAUUAGCAAGGUGGAAAGCCACCGAACUAAGAGAAUUUUUAUUGUAUACUGGUCCGAUUGUAUUGAAAAAUGUGCUACCAAAACGCCUUUACGAACAUUUCCUUCUUUUUCAUGUUGCGGUCAAACUUUUGGUAGCACAACAUUUCUGCAAAGAGUUUAACGACUACGCCAAACAGUUGCUUGUGUUGUUCGUGACGGAGGCAAAAGAAAUUUACGGCAAAGAAUUUCUCAGCUACAACGUUCAUAAUUUAAUUCACUUGGCAGACGAUGUACGUCACUUUGGCAAUCUUGAUUCUUUCAGCGCUUUUGCUUUCGAAAAUUAUCUGCAGGACAUUAAACAUCUUUUGCGAAAACAUAAUCAACCCUUAGCCCAAGUUAUCCGAAGACUUGAUGAGAUCCAGUUAAAUCUAGUACCACGGAUAAAUUGUGCUGUCUCACCUUUCGUAUUGAAAAAGAAACACACUCAAGGGCCGAUGAUAAAUGGCUGUCGUGGCGUUCAGUUCAAGUUUCUCCAAUGUCACUCAUGGACUUUUCGUACAGAUAACGAUGCAGAUUGUUGCGCAAUUCUUCAGGACCAAACGAUUGUAAAAAUUGCCAAUUUAUUGAAGAGUGAAGAAGGAAUUGUCUUGGUCGGGCAUAGUUUUCUUCACAAAACUAGCCACUAUUCUUCCCCCUUACCAUCUUCCAGACUCGGAAUAGUUUGUGCAAGACGACUUUCUCAAUUACAACGUUGGCCUAUAAAGUCCUUGAAAUGCAAAGCAAUGCUGCUGCCAACAGCAGUUCAUAGUCUUUAUGACUUCGCUGUUUUUCCAUUGCAUAUGCAAAGCAACGCAUAGCUUCAAUCUUGCAAGUCGAUGUAACUGAAGAUUCCAUUAUUAACAUCUCUCGGCUUUUGAAAGGAUUUCCAAAUUUUUUUCCAUUAAAAGAAAUGCAGCGAUUAUUUUUUUAUUUCCUCUACGAUGUUUCAUUCUCGAUUCUUCUUCAAGGGUGGUCUUUUAAGAAAUCUGACAACUCCAUUUUGUAGCGUCUGUCUUCUGCUCUGUUGUCUCAUCAAGCGUCGUGUCUCGUGUGUCUCGUCUCGUGUGUCUCAUGUGUCUCGUCUCGUGUGUCUCGUCUCGUGUGUCUCGUCUCGUGUGUCCUGGAAUUUAUUUGCUUUCAAUAAAGGGAUAUUAACAUAUGCCAGAACGGGGUGAAAUGUUUCUUAUAGUGGAGUAUAUCAUAGGUGAACAUGAGACCGAAGUAGAAGUUGUCCCCAGUUCAUGGUACUCAUCAGGUCAGUGUUGGUGGCCUCCAGGUGCAUUUGCUCGUUCAACAUUGGAAAAAAAGUAUCGAAGUCAGUGGAUUGUGAUAAAGCUACAUGGGACUGUUAUGAUGCUCGCCUCAUUGCUACUUUCAAAACGUAUGCAGAAGCCAAGGCUAAGUUGCCUCUUGCUAUUGCUGGAGAAUCAGUAGCUCCCAGCUCGACUGACGUUGAUGGACAUAAAAA